GAUGAAGAACGCAGCGAAAUGCGAUACUUGGUGUGAAUUGCAGAAUCCCGUGAACCAUCGAGUCUUUGAACGCAAGUUGCGCCUCAAGCCAUUAGGUUGAGGGCACGUCUGCCUGGGCGUCACAUAUCGUUGCCUGAUGCCAGUUUCCUCGUGAUGGGUGACUGUGCAGGGUGAAUGAUGGCUUCCCGUGAGCAUUGUUGCCUCAUGGUUGGUUGAAAAUUGAGUCCUUGGUAGGGAGCGCCGUGAUAGAUGGUGGUUGAGUGACGAACGAGACCCAAUCAUGUGAGACCCCUACCGAAUUUGGCCUUCAUGACCCACAUGCGUCUUUGGAACGCUCAUGACGAGACCUCAGGUCAGGCGGGGCUACCCGCUGAGUUUAAGCAUAUCAAUAAGCGGAGGA
This 400-nucleotide unclassified non-coding RNA is filed under the name soil metagenome. RNAcentral's name for it is "partial contains 5.8S ribosomal RNA, internal transcribed spacer 2, and large subunit ribosomal RNA". The stretch from base 1 to 122 matches the Rfam family "5.8S ribosomal RNA", at positions 35 to 154 of the family's 154-position model. The record is from RNAcentral.